GGAUGGGCAAUGCAGAGAUACCCACCAUCACCCAAAAGGAUCCUUCAGGGCCAUUAUUCUUAUGUGGCAGCCAUCGAUGCUCCCCACGACCUUUAGGAAGGUCGAAGACCCAGCGAGCUGCUGAAAACCAGAGGUGACUAAUGGUAGUUCAUUCCAUGGGAUGCCGGAUGACGUGGUCUGCUGUCCUGUGGACAACGUCCCUCACAGUGGACAGUGGCAUGUUAAAGGCCCUGGCUACCACACCGUAAGAUGUGCCACACGCCAGCCAGAAAGAAACAUCAGGACCGCUGUCUCCUGGUUGCCACAUAGCUGACUCUAAUUCACUCAAUCAACCACAGCAUACAUAAGCUCUGUACUGAGCUGAGCUCAAUGCAAAGUAUUGAUUGUGCCAUUCUGCCUUCCUUACCGAGUGUUACAUCUGGACCUGAUCUUCUGAGGACCAUCAAUGCAAUUAAUGCAAGAACAGAGUCAAACACUUUAUCCAGACAUAAAGACAAACAGCGACAGGAAACUAAUAAUUCAGUUAAAACAGUUAGUCUGCUUUUCAUAGACGGAUUAUCCAGAGGACAGUGUGUUAAUGCAGUGGUCCCCAACCUUUUUGUCACCAUGGACCGGUACAAAGCAAGACACGUUUACCGUAGAUCGGGGGUGGUAUUUUCUCUUUAGUAAUAAUAAUAACAAUAAUAAUAAUGAACGUAAAUCCACUGUUUAAUAAUAAUAAUAUUAUAAUAAUAAUAAUCGUAACGUCACACCAACAACAGCACAUCACAUGCACAGGCAUUGGUGUCGCGACUUUGACGUGCGUUAAGUGUGACGGAUGUAACAGAGAGAAUCCGGUCACUUUUCAAAAUGAAAUGGGGUUUUUUUUUGGGAAAAAAAACAAUAAAAUGGAAAUUAUUUUUUCUUUCUGUGGGUCCCGGUGCCAAAAUUUCCCGCGACCCGGUGCCAAGUGUCACGCAGCCCGGUACCGGUCCGCGAUCCGGUGGUUGGGGACCACUGUGUUAAUGGAUCCCUUUAACCUUAGCUCAGUUAGAAAUCCUGUUUAGCCCAGUUUGCAUGAAAUAAAUAUAAGAUUAAUAAUUUACGGUGGUCGACAGGGCUCACACUACAUACAAAAGAUAAAAUGCCGAUUAGAUUGAAACUGAAUUGGGGGUUUUUUCGCUGGUAGAAAAAAAAAAAGUCCUCAUUUCCGUUGUGCUGAGGUAAAUGCUAAUGCUGCGGUUAUGUUAUUGUGCUUCGGGUAAUUUCGUUGCGUUGUUUCUUUUAUAUGUAGUGUGAACCCUGUCGGCCAUCGUAAUAAGUGAGGUAAAAAAAAUAUAUAGAUGAUUUAGGUGUUUUUAAUGUUUCUCACCUUCAGAGUGUUUCUUUAGCUCCUUCACUUCCAUCUGCAGAUUGCUAAUGUUGGCCACCAUGUCUGGAAAAUUACAUUAUUUGGUGAAAUAAACCAUACAAAA
This is a non-coding RNA of Oryzias latipes (Japanese medaka), 1454 nucleotides long. NCBI's taxonomy places the organism in Eukaryota, Metazoa, Chordata, Actinopteri, Beloniformes, Adrianichthyidae. The record is from RefSeq and is a predicted model, not a curated record.